Molecule: ribosomal RNA, 568 nt
Filed under: uncultured Neisseriaceae bacterium
Lineage: Bacteria; Pseudomonadati; Pseudomonadota; Betaproteobacteria; Neisseriales; Neisseriaceae
Description: bacterial SSU rRNA
Rfam family: Bacterial small subunit ribosomal RNA
Source: RNAcentral
ACAAUUAGCUGUUGGGACACUAGAUGUCUUAGUAGCGAAGCUAACGCGUGAAAUUGUCCGCCUGGGGAGUACGGUCGCAAGAUUAAAACUCAAAGGAAUUGACGGGGACCCGCACAAGCGGUGGAUGAUGUGGAUUAAUUCGAUGCAACGCGAAGAACCUUACCUGGUCUUGACAUGUACGGAAUCUCUUAGAGAUAGGAGAGUGCCUUCGGGAGCCGUAACACAGGUGCUGCAUGGCUGUCGUCAGCUCGUGUCGUGAGAUGUUGGGUUAAGUCCCGCAACGAGCGCAACCCUUGUCAUUAGUUGCCAUCAUUAAGUUGGGCACUCUAAUGAGACUGCCGGUGACAAACCGGAGGAAGGUGGGGAUGACGUCAAGUCCUCAUGGCCCUUAUGACCAGGGCUUCACACGUCAUACAAUGGUCGGUACAGAGGGUAGCGAAGCCGCGAGGUGAAGCCAAUCUCAGAAAGCCGAUCGUAGUCCGGAUUGCACUCUGCAGCUCGAGUGCAUGAAGUCGGAAUCGCUAGUAAUCGCAGGUCAGCAUACUGCGGUGAAUACGUUCCCGGGUCU